CCUGGUAGCUCAGCUGGUAAAGAAUCUGCCUGCAAUGCAGAAGACCCAGGUUCGAUCCCUGGGUCAGGA
Molecule: transfer RNA, 69 nt
Filed under: Muntiacus reevesi (Reeves' muntjac)
Lineage: Eukaryota; Metazoa; Chordata; Mammalia; Artiodactyla; Cervidae
Also listed under: 3 other names
Rfam family: tRNA
About the family: Transfer RNA (tRNA) molecules are approximately 80 nucleotides in length.
Source: Rfam by way of RNAcentral